AUGGCGCCGCCGGCCCUCAUUCUCGCCAGAUCCGGCCGCCUCCACGCCAAAUCCACCGAAAAUGGAUCCGUCCCGGCCAGAUCUGCCCGGAUCCGACCGGGCCCCGCCGUCGUCGCCACCAGAGCGCCACCCCGCUCAACCUGCAGCGCCACCUUCCACUGGCAGGCCUUGGAGAACCUCAUCUCUCUGAUUUCCUCUCAAUUUUUGCAGGAUGGGCAAGAACCAGAUACAGUAAUUACAUCUAAAGGGAUGGAUUUAGAGGAAGAUGCAGCAAGAAUUGAUCGAGUAAAAAAGCAACUUCGGCAUGCCAAUGGGACCUUUUCAGUGCUGUCAGGGGUGGCUGAGACCAUCAAGAACUUUGUCCUGAUCUACCAUGUUGACAUCACCAAGGUUCCUGACUUCAACACCAUGUACGAGCUGUACGACCCGUGA
RNAcentral lists this ribosomal RNA (432 nucleotides) under Triticum aestivum (bread wheat). Its description in RNAcentral is "partial small subunit ribosomal RNA". The record is from RNAcentral. Lineage: Eukaryota; Viridiplantae; Streptophyta; Magnoliopsida; Poales; Poaceae.